Non-coding RNA from Myotis brandtii (Brandt's bat), 67 nucleotides. The record is from Rfam. NCBI's taxonomy places the organism in Eukaryota, Metazoa, Chordata, Mammalia, Chiroptera, Vespertilionidae.
GCCUUUGUUGCUUAGUGGUUAGAGCAUUGGCCCGAAUGGUUGAGGGUUCAAUUCCCAGUUAAGGGCA